Molecule: ribosomal RNA, 257 nt
Filed under: uncultured archaeon
Lineage: Archaea
Description: partial 16S ribosomal RNA
Rfam family: Archaeal small subunit ribosomal RNA
Source: RNAcentral
CAGCCGUAAACUAUGCUCGCUAGGUGUCAGGCAUGGCGCGACCGUGUCUGGUGCCGCAGGGAAGCCGUGAAGCGAGCCACCUGGGAAGUACGGCCGCAAGGCUGAACUUAAGGAUUGGCGGGGGAGCACAACAACGGGUGGAGCCUGCGGUUUAAUGGACUCAACGCCGGACAACUCACCGGGGACGACAGCAAUAUGUAGGCCAGGCUGAAGACCUUGCCUGAAUCGCUGAGAGGUGGUGCAUGGCGUAGACGUCU